AGAGGAGGCCUGGAGGACAGGUGCUGCAUGGCUGUCGUCAGCUCGUGUCGUGAGAUGUUGGGUUAAGUCCCGCAACGAGCGCAACCCUUGUCUUUAGUUGCCAUCAUUCAGUUGGGCACUCUAAAGAGACUGCCGGUGUCAAACCGGAGGAAGGUGGGGGAUGACGUCAAGUCCUCAUGGCCUUUAUGACCAGGGCUACACACGUACUACAAUGGCCGGUACAAAGGGCAGCCACUUAGCGAUAAGGAGCCAAUCCCGUAAAGCCGGUCUCAGUCCGGAUUGGAGUCUGCAACUCGACUCCAUGAAGUUGGAAUCGCUAGUAAUCGCAGAUCAGCACGCUGCGGUGAAUACGUUCCCGGGCCUU
This 364-nucleotide ribosomal RNA is filed under the name uncultured Desulfocapsa sp. Its description in RNAcentral is "bacterial SSU rRNA". It matches the Rfam family "Bacterial small subunit ribosomal RNA", at positions 1019 to 1382 of the family's 1533-position model. Lineage: Bacteria; Pseudomonadati; Thermodesulfobacteriota; Desulfobulbia; Desulfobulbales; Desulfocapsaceae. The record is from RNAcentral.